RNAcentral lists this ribosomal RNA (76 nucleotides) under Hafnia paralvei. Its description in RNAcentral is "partial 16S ribosomal RNA". It matches the Rfam family "Bacterial small subunit ribosomal RNA", at positions 1 to 74 of the family's 1533-position model. The record is from RNAcentral. Lineage: Bacteria; Pseudomonadati; Pseudomonadota; Gammaproteobacteria; Enterobacterales; Hafniaceae.
UUUAAUUGAAGAGUUUGAUCAUGGCUCAGAUUGAACGCUGGCGGCAGGCCUAACACAUGCAAGUCGAGCGGUAGCA